GAUGAACGCUAGCUACCGGUUUAACACAUGCAAGUCGAGGGGAAACGAUAUUGGAAGCUUGCUUCCGAUAGGCGUCGACCGGCGCACGGGUGAGUAACGCGUAUCCAACCUGCCCAUCACUUGGGAAUAACCUUGCGAAAGUAAGACUAAUGCCCAAUGACAUUUAUAGAAGGCAUCCGAAAUGAAUUAAAGAUUUAUCGGUGAUGGAUGGGGAUGCGUCUGAUUAGCUUGUUGGCGGGGUAACGGCCCACCAAGGCGACGAUCAGUAGGGGUUCUGAGAGGAAGGUCCCCCACAUUGGAACUGAGACACGGUCCAAACUCCUACGGGAGGCAGCAGUGAGGAAUAUUGGUCAAUGGGCGAGAGCCUGAACCAGCCAAGUAGCGUGCAGGAAGACGGCCCUAUGGGUUGUAAACUGCUUUUAUAGGGGAAUAAAGUGAGCCACGUGUGGUUUUUUGCAUGUACCCUAUGAAUAAGGACCGGCUAAUUCCGUGCCAGCAGCCGCGGUAAUACGGAAGGUCCGGGCGUUAUCCGGAUUUAUUGGGUUUAAAGGGAGCGUAGGCCGGAGAUUAAGCGUGUUGUGAAAUGUAGACGCUCAACGUCUGCACUGCAGCGCGAACUGGUUUCCUUGAGUACGCAUAAAGUGGGCGGAAUUCGUGGUGUAGCGGUGAAAUGCUUAGAUAUCACGAAGAACUCCGAUUGCGAAGGCAGCUCACUGGGGCGCAACUGACGCUGAAGCUC
RNAcentral lists this ribosomal RNA (739 nucleotides) under uncultured bacterium. Its description in RNAcentral is "bacterial SSU rRNA". It matches the Rfam family "Bacterial small subunit ribosomal RNA", at positions 28 to 754 of the family's 1533-position model. The record is from RNAcentral.